GGCGCAAGGGAGAAGAGUCCUAUUCCAAUAAGAAUUCUUAAUUUUCUUAUUUGGAUCCAAACCAAAUCACAUCUAGUUUAAUCUAAAUAAAAUAUAUAAAAUCUAAUCUAAUUAGGUUCAUAAAUUUUUAAUCAAAUGUUAAUCAAAUUAAGAAUUGAUUGAACCAAAAUCCUGAUCAAAUCAAGGAUAAUUCUUUCUUAGCAAUUAGAUCAUCUCAUAACAU
RNAcentral lists this long non-coding RNA (223 nucleotides) under Elaeis guineensis (African oil palm). RNAcentral's name for it is "long non-coding RNA (EGUI_LNC044112)". The record is from RNAcentral. Lineage: Eukaryota; Viridiplantae; Streptophyta; Magnoliopsida; Arecales; Arecaceae.